AAAUGCGAUAAGUAAUGUGCAUUGCAGAAUUCAGUGAAUCAUCGAAUCUUUGAACGCACAUUGCGCCCGCCAGAAUUCUGGCGGGCAUGCCUGUUCGAGCGUCAUUUCAACCCUCGAGCUCCCCUUUCGGGGGGAGCCCGGCGUUGGGGACCCGGCGCUAACAACGCCGGCCCCGAAAUGGAGUGGCGGCCCGUCCGCGGCGACCUCUGCGUAGUAACAACCACUCGCACCGGGACCCGGGCGCGGCCACGCCGUAAAACACCCCACCUUCCGAAUGUUGACCUCGAAUCAGGUAGAAAUACCCGCUGAACUUAAGC
This 317-nucleotide unclassified non-coding RNA is filed under the name plant metagenome. RNAcentral describes it as "partial contains 5.8S ribosomal RNA, internal transcribed spacer 2, and large subunit ribosomal RNA". The stretch from base 1 to 104 matches the Rfam family "5.8S ribosomal RNA", at positions 51 to 154 of the family's 154-position model. The record is from RNAcentral.